Molecule: RNA transcript, 686 nt
Organism: Arabidopsis thaliana (thale cress)
Lineage: Eukaryota; Viridiplantae; Streptophyta; Magnoliopsida; Brassicales; Brassicaceae
Exons: 1
Source: RefSeq
CGAAUCCAAAAACCAAAAUUGCAAACUUUGUGAGGAAGAAGAAGACGACACAGUAUUGAAGAAUACAAUCUCAAACCCUAGUAUGGAAUCUCUGUUUUAUGCUGGUGAAUCAAUGUCCGAUACACAACAAAAACUCAAGCUUUUGGUUGAUAAUGGUGAAUUGGUGAUUACGGAUUCGGAAGAGGAUCUAGAUAUGGAGAUUACGAGAAUCUGUUGGAAUUGAGUAUCCUAAACUAAAUCCUACAAGAAUAACAAGCUUGGUGAGAAGAAGAAGAUGAAGAACAAAGGAAGAAGCAACGGAAGAAGAAGACGAUGGCGGAGAAGAGACGUCGUGAAGAGAGGAGUCAAAGGAAGAGAAGAAAGUCAACAAACCAAAUGGGUUUGUGUUUUGUGUGUUGGGUCAUAGGUAAUGAGAUAAGGCCCAUACGAAUAAGUGUUUUGUACAAGUUGUCUAGUUAAGGUCCAACAAGAAGAGGUUGUGACAACUAAAGUAAACUAAGAGAGUGAAUUAAGGUGUUGGAGUUCCAACAUAGUAGAGUGGAUGAUGUAAGUCUUAGGACAAUGAUGUGGUCUAGAGUCUAAGUGUGUGUAGUCUACCAAGUGGAGCAAAACCACUAUAUGUAUGUGUUGUUUGUGUUGUGUAAGAGUAUCCAAGAAUAUUAUCAAAGUAGAAGAUUAAAAGAAAA